GUCAUAAAGGAGGGAUGGAAGGUGCAGCCCCUCUCCCCAGCCCAGCUGUAGCAGCUCUGGGGCUCUCAGCCUUCCUGCCAGGCAGGGAAACUGUCUUUUUCAUCUGAUAUCAUGGGUGCAAAAAGUGCACGUUGUUAAUCAGCUAGCGCUACAAAGGAAAAAAAUAUUGAAAAUUCCCAAAUGAACAACAAAGAACCCUCACCCACCCACCUUGGGAAACCUGAAGGUUAAGACUGCUACACAGAGCCUUAAACUUGCAAAAGGGAUUUGUGAGCAGCCUGCUUGUCAAGAACAAAUACUAGUCAAAAGAAAUGCGUGACUUAUUGACCUCGGGUUCACUGAACCUUCAUCUUGAUGCUUCCGUACCACUAAGGAAUCAGCUUCUCUGAAAAUUAAAGUUCCCAGAUUAGAAUAGAAGCUUCAACAAAGGACCUGUGUGGCUUUACAAAUACACAUCGAUUAGAGGACUUUGGAAGAGCUUUGUUAGAAAAGUGGAAUUAUGAAAAGCAAAUGUUUGAGAGAUUUGGUGCAGAGUAACAGAUGUACCUUCCCUCUGGUGUGCUGGGUGACUCUUCUGCUUCUUGAUCCCUGUUUGUGGCAAACACACAGAUUAAAAGGAGGAGGAGGGAGCUGUGUGCCCUGCUUGAGCUCUGGGUAGGCUGUGGAGGAUGCAGUGUGCAUUGCUCCGUGGAAAAGAUCCUGUAGCAUCAGCUCCCUCCCUGCUCCAGACUGAUGGUAACUGAAAAUACUGCACAGUCUUUCGCAUCUGAAAGACCACGGCUGGCUGCCAUUAAUUUUAAUGCUAAAUCCUCAUCAGCAUUUCAAAAUAUUAUGAAAAUAUCUAAGAAACUGUCUUCUAGUGGCUUGAAAAUAUCGCAGGCAGCAACCUAAAUAAUACUUUUGCAUAGGAACUGGGACAAGAACUCUCCAAGCAAAUAGAGUCAAAAUGUCUGCGACUGCUGGGAAAUCCCAGGGCUCCCAGGGUGGGGAAAAGUGUGGAGUUCAAAACAAAGGCAAGGAUAGGAAACUUCCUUCAGCUCCUGUGCUGCUUUCCCUCUCUUUGAUUAGACAUCAGGUUGAAGUAUCAUCAACAGCGUGAAUUCUGAAGAAUACAAGAGAAUGCACUUCAGGUUACAAAGCCUGCCUUUUAUUCAGGUAUUAAAAAAAGAAGCCACUAGACUAUUCUUGAAAUAAAUCACCGAGGGGGUUAGGCAGGGGCUGGAGGUGCACACACACUACAUUUUUCAUCGCCAGCUCCUCGUAGCCAAGGCGUGUUGUCAAGACCAUCCUUGGAGAAGCACUUCCCUCUCUCCAUGGUGACAUCGUUAACGCUGAUGGCUGGAACUGACCACAAAGCCCAGACCUUUAGUCCCCACCUGAUCUUCCCCAGUGUUUAUCCACUGCUGGCCUGACCACACAGCAGCCUAAUGAGCAUUACACUUGACAAAUAUUGUCAUGCCUAAGCAGGAGAUAGUGAUUCUGCUAAGACAAGCAGCAAGCCUGGGGGCACGUCAUGCUCAAAUAGGAAAGUUGGGAAUUAAUAUUAAUUCUCUUCCGCUCACUAGGGGCCUGAUCCAGAUCCCUGAUGUCGGUAAAGUCUUUCCACUGUGAGCUUUGCCGCCUUCCCAUGAAGCAGCACUUCAAAACAAAAUACAAUCAAGGAGUAUAAUAAUAAAUUUGACAGUAAUAGCAGAUGGUGCAAGCUGUUUUUUAUCUGGGAUCAGGACUGUUCCAGUAGAUGGACGAGGCACUGAUUUGAGAUGAAAAAACACAGGUCCUAAUUCCUUCUAGAUUUUACUGUCUGGAGUCUUGAUUUAUGUUGGAUAGCAUUCCAAUUUUUAUGUGCUAGAGCAGGACGUGGUGAGCAAUUUAGAAGAAAUGAGAACUUGUGAUUCUCUUUGUCUGUUUGCCUGUCAUGUAAAGCUCUGUGUGGCUUUUGUGUCCAGUCUGCUUUGGAAAAACUCUCCUCUCCCCACACCAAGGCUGCUCAUAAAUCCCUGGGAAUUGUAGUACCUGUGCUGCUGGGUUGCCUUCC
Molecule: long non-coding RNA, 2035 nt
Organism: Hirundo rustica (Barn swallow)
Lineage: Eukaryota; Metazoa; Chordata; Aves; Passeriformes; Hirundinidae
Exons: 8
Source: RefSeq, a predicted model, not a curated record